This 243-nucleotide ribosomal RNA is filed under the name uncultured anaerobic ammonium-oxidizing bacterium. RNAcentral's name for it is "partial 16S ribosomal RNA". It matches the Rfam family "Bacterial small subunit ribosomal RNA", at positions 439 to 673 of the family's 1533-position model. The record is from RNAcentral.
GGAGUUAAGAAAUGUAGACUCGCUAAUAUCGGGUCUAUUUGACAAAGGCUCCAAAGGAAGCCACGGCUAACUCUGUGCCAGCAGCCGCGGUAAUACAGAGGUGGCAAGCGUUGUUCGGAAUUAUUGGGCGUAAAGAGCACGUAGGUGGAUUUGUAAGUCAGACGUGAAAGCGUUCUGUUCAACGGAAGAAUUGCAUCUGAAACUACAAACAAUGGGUGUAGGAGGGGAGAGUGGAACUUCUGG